RNAcentral lists this transfer RNA (69 nucleotides) under Urocitellus parryii (Arctic ground squirrel). Its description in RNAcentral is "Spermophilus parryii (Arctic ground squirrel) tRNA". It matches the Rfam family "tRNA". From Rfam's summary of the family: Transfer RNA (tRNA) molecules are approximately 80 nucleotides in length. Their secondary structure includes four short double-helical elements and three loops (D, anti-codon, and T loops). Lineage: Eukaryota; Metazoa; Chordata; Mammalia; Rodentia; Sciuridae. RNAcentral also lists the same sequence under 1 other name. The record is from Rfam by way of RNAcentral.
GGGGUUGCGGCUCAGUGGUAGAGCUCUUGCCUUGCAAGUAUGAGGCACUGGGUUGGAUCCUCAGCACCA